This 407-nucleotide ribosomal RNA is filed under the name uncultured microorganism. RNAcentral's name for it is "bacterial SSU rRNA". It matches the Rfam family "Bacterial small subunit ribosomal RNA", at positions 9 to 410 of the family's 1533-position model. The record is from RNAcentral.
GAGUUUGAUCAUGGCUCAGAGUGAACGCUGGCGGUAGGCCUAACACAUGCAAGUCGAACGGCAGCACAGUAAGAGCUUGCUCUUACGGGUGGCGAGUGGCGGACGGGUGAGGAAUACAUCGGAAUCUACUUUUCGUGGGGGAUAACGUAGGGGAAACUUACGCUAAUACCGCAUACGACCUACGGGUGAAAGCAGGGGAUCUUCGGACCUUGCGCGAUUGAAUGAGCCGAUGUCGGAUUAGCUAGUUGGCGGGGUAAAGGCCACCAAGGCGACGAUCCGUAGCUGGUCUGAGAGGAUGAUCAGCCACACUGGAACUGAGACACGGUCCCAGACUCCUACGGGAGGCAGCAGUGGGGAAUAUUGGACAAUGGGCGCAAGCCUGAUCCAGCCAUACCGCGUGGGUGAAG